CGGGAUCCUUGGCAGCUUGCUGCCGGGGUGAGAGUGGCGAACGGGUGAGUAAUGCGUGACCGACCUGCCCCAUGCACCGGAAUAGCUCCUGGAAACGGGUGGUAAUGCCGGAUGUUCCACAUGAGCGCAUGCGAGUGUGGGAAAGGCUUUUUGCGGCAUGGGAUGGGGUCGCGUCCUAUCAGCUUGUUGGUGGGGUAACGGCCUACCAAGGCGUUGACGGGUAGCCGGCCUGAGAGGGCGACCGGCCACAUUGGGACUGAGAUACGGCCCAGACUCCUACGGGAGGCAGCAGUGGGGAAUAUUGCACAAUGGGCGCAAGCCUGAUGCAGCGACGCCGCGUGCGGGAUGGAGGCCUUCGGGUUGUAAACCGCUUUUGUUCAAGGGCAAGGCACGGUUUCGGCCGUGUUGAGUGGAUUGUUCGAAUAAGCACCGGCUAACUACGUGCCAGCAGCCGCGGUAAUACGUAGGGUGCAAGCGUUAUCCGGAUUUAUUGGGCGUAAAGGGCUCGUAGGCGGUUCGUCGCGUCCGGUGUGAAAGUCCAUCGCUUAACGGUGGAUCCGCGCCGGGUACGGGCGGGCUUGAGUGCGGUAGGGGAGACUGGAAUUCCCGGUGUAACGGUGGAAUGUGUAGAUAUCGGGAAGAACACCAAUGGCGA
Molecule: ribosomal RNA, 655 nt
Filed under: Bifidobacterium pseudolongum
Lineage: Bacteria; Bacillati; Actinomycetota; Actinomycetes; Bifidobacteriales; Bifidobacteriaceae
Description: bacterial SSU rRNA
Rfam family: Bacterial small subunit ribosomal RNA
Source: RNAcentral